CCUGGCUCACGAUGAACGCUAGCGACAGGCUUAACACAUGCAAGUCGAGGGGCAGCGGGGGUAGCAAUACCCGCCGGCGACCGGCGCACGGGUGAGUAACGCGUAUGCAACUUACCUAUCAGAGGGGGAUAACCCGGCGAAAGUCGGACUAAUACCGCAUGAAGCAGGGGUCCCGCAUGGGGAUAUUUGCUAAAGAUUCAUCGCUGAUAGAUAGGCAUGCGUUCCAUUAGGCAGUUGGCGGGGUAACGGCCCACCAAACCGACGAUGGAUAGGGGUUCUGAGAGGAAGGUCCCCCACAUUGGUACUGAGACACGGACCAAACUCCUACGGGAGGCAGCAGUGAGGAAUAUUGGUCAAUGGGCGUAAGCCUGAACCAGCCAAGUCGCGUGAGGGAUGAAGGUUCUAUGGAUCGUAAACCUCUUUUAUAAGGGAAUAAAGUGCGGGACGUGUCCCGUUUUGUAUGUACCUUAUGAAUAAGGAUCGGCUAACUCCGUGCCAGCAGCCGCGGUAAUACGGAGGAUCCGAGCGUUAUCCGGAUUUAUUGGGUUUAAAGGGUGCGUAGGCGGCCUUUUAAGUCAGCGGUGAAAGUCUGUGGCUCAACCAUAGAAUUGCCGUUGAAACUGGGGGGCUUGAGUAUGUUUGAGGCAGGCGGAAUGCGUGGUGUAGCGGUGAAAUGCAUAGAUAUCACGCAGAACCCCGAUUGCGAAGGCAGCCUGCCAAGCCAUUACUGACGCUGAUGCACGAAAGCGUGGGGAUCAAACAGGAUUAGAUACCCUGGUAGUCCACGCAGUAAACGAUGAUCACUAGCUGUUUGCGAUACACUGUAAGCGGCACAGCGAAAGCGUUAAGUGAUCCACCUGGGGAGUACGCCGGCAACGGUGAAACUCAAAGGAAUUGACGGGGGCCCGCACAAGCGGAGGAACAUGUGGUUUAAUUCGAUGAUACGCGAGGAACCUUACCCGGGUUUGAACGCAUUCGGACCGAGGUGGAAACACCUUUUCUAGCAAUAGCCGUUUGCGAGGUGCUGCAUGGUUGUCGUCAGCUCGUGCCGUGAGGUGUCGGCUUAAGUGCCAUAACGAGCGCAACCCUUGCCACUAGUUACUAACAGGUAAAGCUGAGGACUCUGGUGGGACUGCCAGCGUAAGCUGCGAGGAAGGCGGGGAUGACGUCAAAUCAGCACGGCCCUUACAUCCGGGGCGACACACGUGUUACAAUGGCGUGGACAAAGGGAGGCCACCUGGCGACAGGGAGCGAAUCCCCAAACCACGUCUCAGUUCGGAUCGGAGUCUGCAACCCGACUCCGUGAAGCUGGAUUCGCUAGUAAUCGCGCAUCAGCCAUGGCGCGGUGAAUACGUUCCCGGGCCUUGUACACAC
Molecule: ribosomal RNA, 1374 nt
Filed under: uncultured bacterium
Lineage: Bacteria
Description: 16S ribosomal RNA
Rfam family: Bacterial small subunit ribosomal RNA
Source: RNAcentral